RNAcentral lists this ribosomal RNA (529 nucleotides) under Trichia varia. RNAcentral describes it as "SSU rRNA". It matches the Rfam family "Eukaryotic small subunit ribosomal RNA", at positions 50 to 553 of the family's 1831-position model. The record is from RNAcentral. Lineage: Eukaryota; Evosea; Eumycetozoa; Trichiida; Trichiidae.
CAUGCAUGUCUUAGAAGUAUAAUAGGAGGCGAUCCAUAAAUCUGCGAACGGCUCCGUAUAUCUGUUAUCACCCACGGCCACUAAAAAGAUCUCGGAUACCCACGGUAAUUCUGAGGCUAAUACGUAUACGUAGCUUGGGCCUCCAGGACAGGGUGCCCCCCGCAAGGGGGGCGCCUGGGCUAGUCGCUUGUUGCCGGGGGGUCCCGCAAGGGGUCCGCUGUCAUGAUGGCAGGCUAGUGCACCACACUGCGGGGGCGAUAUGUCCCGUAGGGUGCGCCAAGGGAGCCAGCCCUAUUAACUAGGUGUCCGGGUAAGGCCCGGCCGCGGUGAUAACGGGUACAGAGGAUCAGGGUUCGGUCCUGGAGAGGAAGCCUGAGAGAUCGCUUCUACUUCUAAGGAAGGCAGCAGGCGCGCAACGUUCCCAAUGGGGAUACCCUGAGGACGUGAGGGGAUAUAGCAAUGCCCCGCCCAUAAAGCGGGGCAAUUGCAAUGGGGGUCCACUAAACCCUCCACCGAGUAACAAUUGGAG